RNAcentral lists this transfer RNA (72 nucleotides) under Perkinsus olseni. RNAcentral's name for it is "tRNA-Cys". It matches the Rfam family "tRNA". From Rfam's summary of the family: Transfer RNA (tRNA) molecules are approximately 80 nucleotides in length. Their secondary structure includes four short double-helical elements and three loops (D, anti-codon, and T loops). The record is from RNAcentral. Lineage: Eukaryota; Perkinsozoa; Perkinsida; Perkinsidae.
GAGUGUGCAGUUUAGUGGUAGAGAGGCUGACUGCAAAUCGGCAGAUCUCCAGUUCAAAUCCGGGCGCGCCCU